GAAGAGAUGCGGCUCAGUGGUAGAGUAUAUGCUUGCCAUGCAAAAGGCCCCAGAUUCAAUCUGUGGUUCCUUCA
This 74-nucleotide transfer RNA is filed under the name Sphaerodactylus townsendi. RNAcentral's name for it is "tRNA-Gly". The record is from RNAcentral. Lineage: Eukaryota; Metazoa; Chordata; Lepidosauria; Squamata; Sphaerodactylidae.